GACGAACGCUGGCGGCGUGCCUAACACAUGCAAGUCGAACGAAACUUCUUUAAAGGAUUUCUUCGGAAUGAAUUUGAUUAAGUUUAGUGGCGGACGGGUGAGUAACGCGUGAGUAACCUGCCUCUAAGAGGGGAAUAACAUUCUGAAAAGAAUGCUAAUACCGCAUAACAUAUAUUUAUCGCAUGGUAGAUAUAUCAAAGAUUUAUCGCUUAGAGAUGGACUCGCGUCCGAUUAGUUAGUUGGUGAGGUAACGGCUCACCAAGACCGCGAUCGGUAGCCGGACUGAGAGGUUGAACGGCCACAUUGGGACUGAGACACGGCCCAGACUCCUACGGGAGGCAGCAGUGGGGGAUAUUGCGCAAUGGGGGAAACCCUGACGCAGCAACGCCGCGUGAAGGAUGAAGGUCUUCGGAUUGUAAACUUCUUUUAUUAAGGACGAAGAAAGUGACGGUACUUAAUGAAUAAGCUC
This 469-nucleotide ribosomal RNA is filed under the name uncultured bacterium. RNAcentral describes it as "bacterial SSU rRNA". It matches the Rfam family "Bacterial small subunit ribosomal RNA", at positions 28 to 493 of the family's 1533-position model. The record is from RNAcentral.